CCGCUUACUCCCCCUCCCGCUCUUCCCCAAUCCGUGCGCCUGCGCACCGGGGGUGGGCGUGGCCGGGGAAGCUCCGGCGCUAGGCUCCUCCUCCCCGCCUCGCUUUCGCUUUCACUUUCCCAAGUGCCGAGGGUUCUUCUUGCUCUUGGGGUACCUGGAAAAAGAAAAGGGAGGCUUUGCGCUUUUCCCUGGCCGCUGGAAGCUGGACGUUAAUGCCCGCGCCCCGCGAGCCCGGCUAGAUCAGAGACCUAUUUCUCUGCUUGAGUCCUUGCAGCUUUUGUCCUUGACUUCUGCCUCUGCUUUCUUCAGCCUCCAGCCAGCUCCGACUCGUGGCUUCUCAAUCUCCAACUGAGUGCUGAUGUUGGAUAACCAUGUAAUCAUUCAUUUGGAGAAACAUUUACUUUUACAUGAAGAAAUUGAAAUAGGU
This 427-nucleotide long non-coding RNA is filed under the name Sarcophilus harrisii (Tasmanian devil). Its description in RNAcentral is "lncRNA (ENSSHAG00000029136.1)". The record is from RNAcentral. Lineage: Eukaryota; Metazoa; Chordata; Mammalia; Dasyuromorphia; Dasyuridae.